UUGUAAUCACUGAAUUCAGGCCAGCUGACAGUCUUGCCUGGGCCCGGGACGAGAUAAUCUUAGAUGGGCCCCCCCGCGCCCAGAUCUCUCCUUUUCCCUUGCUCUUCCUCUCCUCUGCUCUUCCUCCCCUGUUUCUCUCCUCUCCUCUGCUCUUCC
Long non-coding RNA from Sander lucioperca (pikeperch), 156 nucleotides. RefSeq lists it as uncharacterized. The transcript has 3 exons. Lineage: Eukaryota; Metazoa; Chordata; Actinopteri; Perciformes; Percidae. The record is from RefSeq and is a predicted model, not a curated record.